Molecule: long non-coding RNA, 973 nt
Filed under: Phoenix dactylifera (date palm)
Lineage: Eukaryota; Viridiplantae; Streptophyta; Magnoliopsida; Arecales; Arecaceae
Description: long non-coding RNA (PDAC_LNC016633)
Source: RNAcentral
AAAUUUAAGUUAUAUAUAUACUGUGAUGAAUUUUAAAGAAAAAUAUGAUUUUUGGAUGUUAGGUUCUGCGAGGGAUUUGUGAGAUAAAUUGGAUCGCAUUCGAUGUAAGUAAUGAACUGCCUUCUCUAAACUCUUCAUUUAUAUAAUAUUAUUUUUGCAUCGAAUAAAUUGUUAAUAAAUUUAUAUGUGAUUUAUGAAUUUUACGAGAUGAUGAUUUGAAUGAAAAAUGGAUAUGUGAACUGAAAUUAUAUUUUUCGGACUAUUGCUAUAUUUAUUGUUCUUGCAUCGUAUAUGCAUAUUUAGAUCGGAUUAUGAUACAUAUAUUAUGUUACCAAAAGAAUUUUGAUGUGCAUCAGAUUUAGAACUCUCAGCCUGACUAUGUUCUAGACCCUGCCAAUUGGGGGUUAUGCAUUGGCAAUUUUGGCCCCACCGCAGGAUAUAAGUACGGUAUUCUGGCCCACUCCGCAGGGUAUAAGUGCGGUAUUCUGGCCCAUUCCGCAGGGUAUAAGUGUGGUUCUGUUUCUGGCCUAGCCACAGGGUAUAAGUGUGGUCGUAGUUAAAGGCUGAUGAGAUGAAUGCGAUUUGUUUAGAAUCAGAUUUAUGAUUAUGUAUAUGGAUAUUUGAAAAAUACGGAUUUUAAUGAAUUUGUGUUUGAAAAGGAAUUGAUUAUGUUAUUAUGUUGAUUCAUCGUAAUUUGUAUUUAUAUUUUAUGUUAUUAUACAAAUUGACUAUUUAAGGUGUUUAUUACUUACUGGGCUGUCUAGCUCAUUACACGAUUUCUUACUGUUUUUACACAUCCGAAGAAUUAGCUCGAUCCGGGGUUUUACAAUAUGGGAGAGCGGAUAAAAGAAUUAUGGCACAAGUUAUCUUAAAUUAGGUUUUAUUUAAAUUAAUGUUCUAUUUUUAUUGUUCCGCUGCGUAUUUAGAACUGUGAGACUUUAUAAUUUAUGUCAGUCAAUGGAAUAAGAUUGCA